Molecule: ribosomal RNA, 257 nt
Filed under: uncultured bacterium
Lineage: Bacteria
Description: partial 16S ribosomal RNA
Rfam family: Bacterial small subunit ribosomal RNA
Source: RNAcentral
AACGAACGCUGGCGGCGUGCCUAAUACAUGCAAGUCGAACGAGAAAGCGUAGCAAUACGUUAGUAAAGUGGCAGACGGGUGAGUAAUACAUAGGGUAAUCUACCUUCGAGAUGGGGAUAACCUUCCGAAGGAGGGCUAUACCGAAUGAGACCACAGAGAUUAAUUUCUCAGGGGUAAGGUAGACCUCUAUUAUAAGUUAUCGCUGAAGAUGAGCUUAUGCACCAUCAGCUAGUUGGUAGGGUAAUGGCCUACCAAGG